This is a regulatory RNA element of Desulfurivibrio alkaliphilus, 100 nucleotides long. It matches the Rfam family "Pyrrolysine insertion sequence mttB". Lineage: Bacteria; Pseudomonadati; Thermodesulfobacteriota; Desulfobulbia; Desulfobulbales; Desulfobulbaceae. The record is from Rfam.
AUGACCGAUUCCAAGGUGGUGGACGCCCAGGCCGGCUACGAAUCCGCCAUGACCAGCGUGCUGGUGGCCCUGGCCGGGGCCAACUUCAUCCAUGACGCCG